GAUGAACGCUGGCGGCGUGCCUAAUACAUGCAAGUCGAGCGAACAGAUAAGGAGCUUGCUCCUUUGACGUUAGCGGCGGACGGGUGAGUUACACGUGGAUAACCUACCUAUAAGACUGGGAUAACUUCGGGAAACCGGAGCUAAUACCGGAUAACAUAUUGAACCGCAUGGUUCAAUAGUGAAAGGCGGCUUUGCUGUCACUUAUAGAUGGAUCCGCGCCGUAUUAGCUAGUUGGUAAGGUAACGGCUUACCAAGGCAACGAUACGUAGCCGACCUGAGAGGGUGAUCGGCCACACUGGAACUGAGACACGGUCCAGACUCCUACGGGAGGCAGCAGUAGGGAAUCUGCCGCAAUGGGCGAAAGCCUGACGGAGCAACGCCGCGUGAGUGAUGAAGGUCUUCGGAUCGUAAAACUCUGUUAUCAGGGAAGAACAAAUGUGUAAGUAACUGUGCACAUCUUGACGGUACCUGAUCAGAAAGCCACGGCUAACUACGU
RNAcentral lists this ribosomal RNA (496 nucleotides) under uncultured bacterium. RNAcentral describes it as "partial 16S ribosomal RNA". It matches the Rfam family "Bacterial small subunit ribosomal RNA", at positions 28 to 506 of the family's 1533-position model. The record is from RNAcentral.